This 372-nucleotide ribosomal RNA is filed under the name Streptococcus parasanguinis. Its description in RNAcentral is "bacterial SSU rRNA". It matches the Rfam family "Bacterial small subunit ribosomal RNA", at positions 137 to 498 of the family's 1533-position model. Lineage: Bacteria; Bacillati; Bacillota; Bacilli; Lactobacillales; Streptococcaceae. The record is from RNAcentral.
CGGGGAAUACUUAUUGGAACCGAUAGCUAAUCCGGCAUAAAAGUCGACAUUGCAUGAUGUUGACUUGAAAGGUGCAACUGCAUCACUAAGAGAUGGACCUGCGUUGUAUUAGCUAGUUGGUGAGGUAACGGCUCACCAAGGCGACGAUACAUAGCCGACCUGAGAGGGUGAUCGGCCACACUGGGACUGAGACACGGCCCAGACUCCUACGGGAGGCAGCAGUAGGGAAUCUUCGGCAAUGGACGGAAGUCUGACCGAGCAACGCCGCGUGAGUGAAGAAGGUUUUCGGAUCGUAAAGCUCUGUUGUAAGAGAAGAACGAGUGUGAGAGUGGAAAGUUCACACUGUGACGGUAACUUACCAGAAAGACGGCU